Long non-coding RNA from Haliaeetus leucocephalus (bald eagle), 221 nucleotides. RefSeq lists it as uncharacterized. The transcript is spliced from 3 exons. Lineage: Eukaryota; Metazoa; Chordata; Aves; Accipitriformes; Accipitridae. The record is from RefSeq and is a predicted model, not a curated record.
CGGCGGCCGCCCGCGCUCGUGCCGAGCAGCACCGGGCUGAGCUGGAGGGCCGUGUCGGGGAGCUGCAGGCGGCGCUGGGAGAUGCCGAGCGGCAGCGGGAGCUGCGGGAGGCCGAGGGCCAGGCGUUGCGCCAGGAGCUGAAAGACGUCCGAGAUGGGCAGCGCAUCCUGGAGAAGAAAGGCAGCGCGGCGGUGAGGGUCCCCAGGGGGCUGGGGUGCCGU